CGAGCGGAAGGCCCUUCGGGGUACUCGAGCGGCGAACGGGUGAGUAACACGUGAGUAACCUGCCCCGAACUCUGGGAUAAGCCUGGGAAACCGGGUCUAAUACCGGAUAUUACCUGUGACUGCAUGGUCUGCAGGUGGAAAGUUUUUUCGGUUCGGGAUGGACUCGCGGCCUAUCAGCUUGUUGGUGAGGUAGUGGCUCACCAAGGCGACGACGGGUAGCCGGCCUGAGAGGGCGACCGGCCACACUGGGACUGAGACACGGCCCAGACUCCUACGGGAGGCAGCAGUGGGGAAUAUUGCGCAAUGGGCGAAAGCCUGACGCAGCGACGCCGCGUGGGGGAUGACGGCCUUCGGGUUGUAAACCUCUUUCAGCAGGGACGAAAUUGACGUGUACCUGCAGAAGAAGCGCCGGCUAACUACGUGCCAGCAGCCGCGGUAAUACGUAGGGCGCAAGCGUUGUCCGGAAUCAUUGGGCGUAAAGAGCUCGUAGGUGGCCGGUCGCGUCGGAUGUGAAAGCCCGCAGCUUAACUGCGGGUCUGCAUUCGAUACGGGCCGGCUCGAGGUAGGUAGGGGCAAGCGGAAUUCCUGGUGUAGCGGUGAAAUGCGCAGAUAUCAGGAGGAACACCGGUGGCGAAGGCGGCUUGCUGGGGCCUUACCUGACGCUGAGGAGCGAAAGCGUGGGGAGCGAACAGGAUUAGAUACCCUGGUAGUCCACGCUGUAAACGUUGGGCGCUAGGUGUGGGGGACCUUCCACGGUUUCCGUGCCGUAGCUAACGCAUUAAGCGCCCCGCCUGGGGAGUAC
This 802-nucleotide ribosomal RNA is filed under the name Planobispora sp. RNAcentral describes it as "bacterial SSU rRNA". It matches the Rfam family "Bacterial small subunit ribosomal RNA", at positions 63 to 883 of the family's 1533-position model. Lineage: Bacteria; Bacillati; Actinomycetota; Actinomycetes; Streptosporangiales; Streptosporangiaceae. The record is from RNAcentral.